Molecule: long non-coding RNA, 262 nt
Filed under: Ananas comosus (pineapple)
Lineage: Eukaryota; Viridiplantae; Streptophyta; Magnoliopsida; Poales; Bromeliaceae
Description: long non-coding RNA (ACOM_LNC011862)
Source: RNAcentral
GACUCUACCUGCAAAGUCUUCAAAAAGUAUCCUAACGAAGUCUAUGGAAAGGUCACUGGUAGGAUCAAAAACCAGUUUACUUUCUGAAUUAAGCGCAUGACAUACUAAAUAAUCAGCGGCCCUAUUAGCUUCACGAUAUAUUUUAACAAAAAUGCACUGCUGUAAAUGCUUCGCUAGAGAUGCGCAUCGGUCAAUGAUAUUUUGGAGUCGCCAAGGAGGUUUAAUCUGUGACCUAACAUAAGAGAACAAGUUUUGAGAGUCU